RNAcentral lists this ribosomal RNA (468 nucleotides) under uncultured bacterium. RNAcentral's name for it is "partial 16S ribosomal RNA". It matches the Rfam family "Bacterial small subunit ribosomal RNA", at positions 28 to 507 of the family's 1533-position model. The record is from RNAcentral.
GACGAACGCUGGCGGCGUGCUUAACACAUGCAAGUCGAACGGAAAGGCCCUGCUUUUGUGGGGUGCUCGAGUGGCGAACGGGUGAGUAACACGUGAGUAACCUGCCCUUGACUUUGGGAUAACUUCAGGAAACUGGGGCUAAUACCGGAUAGGAGCUCCUGCUGCAUGGUGGGGGUUGGAAAGUUUCGGCGGUUGGGGAUGGACUCGCGGCUUAUCAGCUUGUUGGUGGGGUAGUGGCUUACCAAGGCUUUGACGGGUAGCCGGCCUGAGAGGGUGACCGGCCACAUUGGGACUGAGAUACGGCCCAGACUCCUACGGGAGGCAGAAGUGGGGAGUAUUGCACAAUGGGCGGGAGCCUGAUGCAGCAACGCCGCGUGCGGGAUGACGGCCUUCGGGUUGUAAACCGCUUUCGCCUGUGACGAAGCGUGAGUGACGGUAAUGGGUAAAGAAGCACCGGCUAACUACGUG